This is a small nuclear RNA of Mustela lutreola (European mink), 138 nucleotides long. RefSeq annotates it as U4 spliceosomal RNA. NCBI's taxonomy places the organism in Eukaryota, Metazoa, Chordata, Mammalia, Carnivora, Mustelidae. The record is from RefSeq and is a predicted model, not a curated record. The transcript has a single exon.
AGCUUUGCGUGGUAGUGGUAUCGUAGCCAAUGAGGUUUAUCCAAGGUGUGAUUAUUGCUUAUUGAAAUGUUAUACGCAUUAACAUUUUCUUCUUUGUUCUAUUUUAGGGUGACUGGGAAUGUAAAUAAGAAUAAGCUG